GCUCUCUGCCAGAGCUCGGGACUGGUGCUGACCUGCAGGAUGGAGGAGAGAAGAGAAGACUCAUCAACAGAACAAAUGUUGCUGGAACAUUACUUAUAAUGGCAACAAUUGGAAACAAUCAAAGGAUGUCACUAUAGGGACUUGGGUUAAGAAAAUUAUGACACAUCAAAAGCACAGUGAAGAGAACUUCUGUCAAUCCUGUCAAGCACAUGAAGAUGUGAAGUUUCAACUGGAUUCAUUUCUAUAAAUAACCGAUACAAUUUCCAGAAAACCCUGAAGUCAGGAAAACCAAUGUUACUAAUGGCCUUAGGCUACGAGAAGAUCUGGUUAAGAGUAUCCUAAGGGAGGAUCUAAGCCUGUUCAUACUCUACAAGCAAAGAAACAUUAAAAAACAAAACAAAAAACCAAAACUUGAAGAAACGAAGUGACCAGUUCACUACCAUUCAACUAUUAAGGGAUAGAGCCAGGACUCAGUAUCUAGUCAUGUGAUGACAAAGCCCGCACUCUUACUGUACAGCCUCACCUUGGAUAAAUCUCAUUUCAAGACAGGUAAUUUUGAGAAUAUCUUAGGCCCCCCUUCUAUCAAAGAGAGGGAUCGAAUUUAAAAUUUAUCUGGAAUGCCAACUCUGAUUAACUCCCUGGAGAGAGUCCCUGGAGGACUGGUUGAGAAGAACCCUGAGGAUGCAUCAGUGUUCAUCAGGAAAGGGCGCCAACACCCAGCGUGCCCACUCAUGAGCAGGGAGGAGAUGAUGCAUGGGAAUCCACAACUCUAUCUCAAGUUUCCCAGACACACACUAAAGCUCUGCAGAAGAUUUUGGUGCCCCUGAGCUACUUUUACACAGCAAAGAAGACUUCUGAUGUGAUUCCUGGUGGCAGUGCGUAGUAUGCGAUGAUUUCCAUCAGAGUGGCUGGGUUUGUCAAAGCUUUAUUAGAGAUUCCUAUGAUUUGAAGAAAAAGCCAGGGUCCUAUUUUGGCAACUUUUCUGAUAUAAGUAAUAAAAACAAAAUGCCAUGAAUUUAAAUUGUUAGGUUUCU
Molecule: long non-coding RNA, 1034 nt
Filed under: Homo sapiens (human)
Lineage: Eukaryota; Metazoa; Chordata; Mammalia; Primates; Hominidae
Description: HSALNT0393277
Source: RNAcentral